This is a non-coding RNA of Cinara cedri, 1319 nucleotides long. Lineage: Eukaryota; Metazoa; Arthropoda; Insecta; Hemiptera; Aphididae. The record is from the annotation of a GenBank genome assembly.
UGAAACCCAAACAAUUUAAAUUAUCGUGGCGUUCUUUAAGAUUAACUUUUCAAACGAACACUCUCAGAAUAUGAUAUAUAUUAUGAAAUUAGUUUUCUGUUGUUUUUUACUUGGUUGCAAUAUCUCCAAAACGUUUUGUUUACCGUAGACACAGUAUUUCACCAAUGAACGACCGCAGUAACCGAAAACGGAACAGUACAGUAUUGUUAAUCGUUUGCUGAUCCCGACAACCUAGUUGUCAAUGUGUGCAUUUGGUUAUCGAACAACUUCAGCAAACAAAACCACCCUAAUGAUUUGUUCACUAAACUAGUAACCAGGUUGUUCAAAACUGCCUCGCAAAAACACGCUUAUUAAACAUAAUUAGUUAAAUAUUAUUGCUGCCAGCCAAAAUAUGCAGCUAAGAAUGGUUGAAUCCGUUGCUUCCACUCACUACUAAACGCAGUUGAACGUACGAUAUACUCGCAAAAAUUGAAAUUGUGGAAAAAAAAUAGGCAGUUGCCGUAUGCAUGUUUUGAAAAUAUAGGUACUUUCAGGAUCAUUACGCUGAGUACGGUUUUCAAUUAGAUAUUUUAUCUAUUGCAGAAGUCAAAAUAUUCGUUCUGAUGAUAUCCCGACGGGUUGACCAAUGAUUUGCGUUUGCAUUUGCAAACUAAUGGAUUUGUUUACGGGUUUUUUUUUCCGUGUUUUUUCAUCGACUAGGUUUUAACCUAGAUUUCGGACACUAACUUCCUUUGGGCCAUCGGGUAAUUUACAUUUGUCCGUGUCCCCUCUUAUGCUUUUUCUAAACCCACGGAAGCUUUCUGUCGACUGAAGGCGGUAGGUUUCAGGUUUAUACUAAGGCACUGAAUUUUUUAGACCGAUAGGGGUUUUCGUUGGGCGAGGGGAACGAAAAUCGACGAUCCAGUCAAACAGAGCGCAAUGGUUUUUAGAACAACUUUAUAUAUUAUGCAAAAUACGGGUUGGAAUAAUGCAGUGUUUUCGAUUGGGCGUACAUUAUUUUUGCAAAAAUACAAAAAAGCAUGAAUUAAUACCGAAUUAUAUUACAUUAUUAGUUAUUAUUAUUAUUAGUUAUUGCGUGUAUUGUGUUUGUGAAAUAUGUCUAAUGCUUAUAUAUGACAACGUAAAAAAAAUCCCCAAACGAAUUAAAAUGCGCGUGUCCAAUAAUAACAAUAAUCAUUAUUAUUAUUUUCAUAUUGUCCCGGUUCAGACCGAUGGUCUGCAAAAUAAAAAUUUACAAUCGGCGGAGGAAGGGAAAAAUAAAAACCAUUUUUCAAACAUAUUUUACCCCUAAAGCACAGAGGCACUACAGUCAAAUAAUA